This is a long non-coding RNA of Macaca mulatta (Rhesus monkey), 1264 nucleotides long. RefSeq lists it as uncharacterized. The record is from RefSeq and is a predicted model, not a curated record. NCBI's taxonomy places the organism in Eukaryota, Metazoa, Chordata, Mammalia, Primates, Cercopithecidae.
UUUUUUCUAUUGCUUACAAAGACCUGGGACUGUGGUUUCUCCUGGCUGUACCACUCACUUCCAAGCACUCUGAGUGCUUGGGAGCUAUUUCCUGGGUAUGGGGCCCAUUGUUCUAACCUAAUUUUUACUGUUGGAUCAAAGAAUAUCUGUGGCCAAAUAAUGGUCCUAUUGCUAGUCACUCUUUUGUCCACAAAUGAACUACAGUGAAACCGUAUCUUGACUGCUUUCCUUUUUAGUACCCAUUAGAUAAGCAAGCGGGGCUGUUGAGAGGAAGAUGUUAACUGACCCCCAAGGCAGGACCAGGUGUUGACAUCCUGCUCUUUCAAAGAUGAUGAACCAGAGAAUGCUGUGUCACUGCUUGUUCCCUUCCCUUGCUGGUACCGGCAAGUGGGAAAGCUGGGAUUCAAAUCCAAGUCUGUGUUUCCAAAAGCCCAUGUUGAAGAUGCUCUUGUUGCUGGAUUUACUGAAUCUCUGUCACAUGAUCCAAUGGAGAAAGUGAAAAGUGUCACUGAGCUGGGCCACAGAGCUGGUUAUCAAGGGUAGUCUGCGAGGUCAGAGCACUGACUACGUCAAUGACACCUUUUGUCCUUGUCCCCAAGAGGGUCAGUUUGUGUAGCCACCGUCAGAGCUAUAGGAGGACGUGGGACCAAGUAAGAUGCCGGCUCCUUGCAGACCCAAGGGUGUCCAUCGUGUUCAUGUGGGGGCACCACUACACCCCCGUAAGAGCUCAUAGCGCUUUCUUCAUUAUUGGUCCAUCAGAGUGGAACAGGAAAGGAACUUCCAGGUGCUGAGCCUGUUGAUUUACCAGGGCAUCGUUGAUUACAAAUCAAGCUUUUUAUCUACCCUUCACUUCUUUGGGAACUUCACAAUGCUGGACACUGAGCUUCCACGUACCUGGUCUAAAAUGAGGAAGAGCAGAAGGCACCUGCUAUCAAUUUGACUUGCAUGUAACCAGAAUUCUCGGAACUUGUUGGUUGCUCCUGCUGGCUCCUGUCCAUGUGUGCCAAGAGGCCGUGAUGGCAAGCGGAUUAGGUAAGCAGAAAGCACCAUGUGGUAUCCCAUGGGGUGACUGGGCAUUUUCUGAGAGGUAGCAGAAUGGCCCUGUGGACAGCAUAGGGCUGGGAAGUCCAGACACUCCUCAAUUGUAUGUAUGGCUCUACCAUGGUUAAUUCCAUUGCCUGCAGAGUUUGCUGAUGUCUGUUUUCCCCGAUCUUGCUUUUUAAAAAACUUUUAUUAUUUUUUGAGAUGGAGUGAGUUUUGCUCU